RNA transcript from Chiroxiphia lanceolata (lance-tailed manakin), 6106 nucleotides. It is a transcript of the gene named one cut homeobox 2, with no coding region annotated. The record is from RefSeq and is a predicted model, not a curated record. Lineage: Eukaryota; Metazoa; Chordata; Aves; Passeriformes; Pipridae. The transcript has 3 exons.
AUGAGGAGCGGGCGCGGCGGCCGGCGGUGCCUGGGCGGGGAGCCGGGUGCGUGCGCCAUGAACCCCGAGUUGGCGAUGGAGCCGCUGGGCAGCCUGCACGGGGCGGCGGGGCACGAGCCGGAGCUGAUGGGCAGCCCCAGCCCGCACCACGGCGGACGCGGCGCGGGGCCGCUCCGGGUACCGCCCCCGCCGCCGCCGCCGCCGCCGCCGCCGCCGCACCAGGAGCUGCCCCCCGCCGCCCGGCCCGCCAUGGUGCCCAGCAUGGCCUCGCUGCUGGACGGCGCCGCCGAGUACCGGCCCGAGCUGUCCAUCCCGCUGCACCACGCCAUGAGCGUGCCCUGCGAGGCCUCGCCGCCCGGCAUGGGCAUGAGCGGCACCUACACCACGCUGACGCCGCUCCAGCCCCUGCCGCCCAUCUCCGCCGUCUCCGACAAGUUCCACCACCCGCACGCCCACCCGCACGCCCACCACCACCACCACCACCACCACCAGCGCCUGCCGAGCGGCGCCGGCGGCGGCUUCGCGCUGAUGCGGGACGAGCGCGGGCUGCCGGCCGUGAACAGCCUGUACGGGCCCUACAAGGAGGUGCCGGCCGUGGGGCAGAGCCUCUCGCCGCUGGGCAACGGGCUGGGCCCGCUGCCGGGCGCCCAGCAGGGCCUGCACGGCUACGGCCCGCCGGGCCCCGACAAGAUGCUGAGCCCCAACUUCGAGGCGCACGCGGCGAUGCUGGCGCGGGGGGAGCAGCCGCUGCCCCGCGGGCUCGGGACGCCCCCGGCCAUGCUGCCGCCGCUGAACGGCGCGCACCACCCCGCGCCCCCCGGCCCGCCGCCCCCGCACGGCCCCGCGCUGCCCCCCGGCCGCGACCGCCCGGCCCCCGCCAACGGCCCGCAGGGCAGCGGCGCGGGGCAGCUGGAGGAGAUCAACACCAAGGAGGUGGCACAAAGGAUCACGGCGGAGCUGAAGCGCUACAGCAUCCCCCAGGCCAUCUUCGCCCAGCGGGUGCUGUGCCGCUCCCAGGGGACCCUCUCGGACUUGCUGCGGAACCCCAAGCCUUGGAGUAAACUCAAGUCCGGGCGGGAGACGUUCCGCAGGAUGUGGAAGUGGCUGCAGGAGCCGGAGUUCCAGAGGAUGUCGGCCCUGCGGCUCGCAGCCUGCAAACGCAAAGAGCAAGAGCCCAGCAAAGAGCGGAACAACUCCCAGAAGAAAUCCCGCCUGGUGUUCACGGACCUGCAGCGCCGGACGCUCUUCGCCAUCUUCAAGGAGAACAAGCGCCCCUCCAAGGAAAUGCAGAUCACCAUCUCCCAGCAGCUGGGGCUGGAGCUCACCACCGUCAGCAACUUCUUCAUGAACGCCCGCCGGCGCAGCCUGGAGAAGUGGCAGGACGACCUGAGCUCCGGGGGCUCCUCCUCGGCCCCCGGCAGCUGUCCCAAGGCCUGAGGGGCACGGCCGGCGCGGCGCGGCAGAGAGAGCGGCUUGGCGUCCUGCAGGGCCCUCCACCCGUGACUUCUAAAGCACAAUCCUCCCACGACCACCCCAGCCCAGCCGUCCCCGAGGACGUUCCUACGGCUCCCCGUCGGUCCCAGCAGGCGCCGGUUCCACGUCCACCUCCCCCUGGACAACGCAGAGCUCAGGGCAGGCGAGGCAGGUCUGAAACGCGGGGGAGCCGUUCCCGAGGCGAGUUUCUCCUGAGCCCGGAGCUCCCGAUCCGGCGCCUGCCGUGUGCUGGCCACACCGCCCCGCCAGAACGGAGCACAAAGCCUGGCACUAAAGAACCCCAGACCCCGCGUUUAAACUCAGGCGUGGUUUUCGUGAAGCGUUUUUAAAGGAGACAAAGAAAGGUCGAAUUUUAAGUUUUCCUUAGUUUCCUUAGGUUUUUUACUCAAUCAGCUUGUUCUUGGAUCAGAGCAAUCCAGUUCCCUCGAGCUCAGAGUAUCAAGCACAAAGCCGUAGCUGCAGCGCUGGGCCCAGCCCUGGGCUCCCCGGGGCUGUGCCGGCUGCGGCCCGACAUCCCGGGAACGCCGCAGGAGCCCCAGGCACAGCUGGCAGUUCCUCCCAAAGUUCCUCCCAAGGCCUGUGUUUGUACCUCAUGCACACUCAGGAGGUCGAUGGAACUGCUACAGUACGCGGAGCGAACGCAACGUUUCCAAAGAUCUGGGGUUUUUUUCUUUUUAGGUCAUUCUUACACCCCUUUUGGGUUCCCCGGAAUCUGGUUUCUCCUCGGCGACGUCCUCGUUGCCGAAACCUUUUUAGCGCUCGAGGCGUUUCUGUUCAUUUUUUUUUUCGGUAUUUUAUGGUACUUUCAAGCAGGAAAAAAAAAAACCCCCCAGCAACGAGCCCUCCGGAUGCCACCGAGCGUUUCAGACGUGCCGCAUCGACCCCCCCCCACUGCAUCCCCCCAUUCCUUUUCCCCGCCCGCUGCCCGAGCCGGCGGGAACACAGCACACCAAAGAGACAGGAUUUCUGCAAGCCAAAGAUGUUCCUAACCCGCCAUUUCUCCUCGCCAUGGCUGGUGUGGGUGGUCGGGGAAGCCCCCCGAGCUCCGAGCCCUCUCUCGGCCGCGGCCGCCCCGUGACCGGUGACCGAGCGCGGCCGCGGCUCUUUAAGAGACACUUGAGACUUUUUUUUUUAUGUGCUACUUAAUCGAAACCAAAGAAACGUUUUUUCUGCACCUACUUCUUCUGCAACGAACUGUUCCAUUGAAAGAUAAAAUAAAAAUUAAAAAAACAAAACAAAAAAAAAAAAACCAAACAAAAAAGACCCAACAAGGAAGCGCGUCAGGAAGCAAACGAGUCCCACACUGUGUUUUACAGACAUCUCGGACGUGUUCGGAAGCAGAUCUCAAAGAAAGGGUUGACCAAGAAUGAGAACAAAGCAAAGCCAGUACGAUUGCUGCUUCAUUUGACAACUCCAGUCAUCCCAAAGUCGAAGAUUGUCUUUAAUUUGUGCCUAUGCAGUUUUUUCAAAAAGAACAAGGAACAGAGCAACCAAAACCUCAACAGCUACAAUACCAAAGAUGAGGAUUCUCACGACCUGUGUUUCAGUUUGUUUUCUCCUCUUGCACGACUAAUGCACACGACCCCACUGGUCUCUGGACAGACUGGUGUGCACAGAGAGUAUCCCAGCAUCUUCCGGACCGGGAACUUGGAGUUACAAGCGUGGGCACGGCCGAGAUGAAUUCAACUUUCCAGAACCCUUGGAUGUUGCUUUAGCUGCCCCCGAAGGAACAAGGAAUGUGCUCGAUGGCUUCGGUUGAAUAGCUUUAUUCUGGGAUCUCUCUGACCUACAGCUGAACCCAAAGACCUGAGAAGGACCCAACCAGCAAACCUCGCUCAUCCCUGCCCGAGGGAAGGGGGGAUCCCAGCCCUGCAGGAGGGAAUGGGAAUCUCCCCUCCCAGAGGAAGACACGGUAACCACCCAAACUGGCUUCGGACACAGCCGGUGCUUUCCUUGCUUGUCACCGUUCCUGAGUGUUUUUAAGACGCGGGGAAACUUUCUACUUGGCCUCCUUUGUAUUUAUGAAGGGGAAUUUUUAUCGGUUAGGUUUUUUUAAAAAGGCAAAGCUUAAAAUGGUUUUGUUUUGUUUUUGUUUUUUUUUUCCAGACACCUGUGGGUUUUGACCCGAUAUAGUAUCUAUCAAUAAUGUAAUUUAUUUAAUUCAGUCUUAGGGCAGGUCCUGAGACCUCUGUUCAGUCUGAAUUCCCGCUGAGUUGCAUCGGAGCUUUUCAGUUCAGGGGGAGUUUUGCCUGAGUGCAGACUGCAGGGUCAGGCUCCCGUGUUAGCUAUUUGCAACUAUUUAAUUCACUCAUUUAUGAACUCAUUUGGGAUUAAUUUUGCCUGUUUACCAAUUUGACUGUUGCAGCGCAUCAGAGAUGCGAAGCCUGUCAGUAAAUCCACUGAAGAGUUGGUGUUGCUUCCCAGAGCAGCCAGGUUCUGCUGGACAGGGGAAAACCAACUCAUUCCAUGAAGCAGGAGUCUAGUUUUAAUCCCCUCUUUUAAUUAAUUUUACUUGUUUAAGUAUCAAAGUUUAAGUUAUUUAAGUUAAUCCCCUGCCAUCCGAUUGGAAAGGGCGACGUACCUUUAUUAUGGCACAUGAAGCCUUCCUGAUAUGACUAAUUUAUUUAACUUAUUCAUUUAACUUAUUCAUCACCACCCCUGUAGAGUUUUUAUUUUUUGAUUUAGAAUUACCUCUGAAGCACUACAGCUGAUCUCCUGUAAGAGCAGCAGAGCGAACUUUGAGGACAAGCAAUGAACGCUCGAACCUAAAACUGUGUGUUCGGAAAAAAAACAGUUUAAAAAAGAAAAAAAAAAAAAAAAAGGACACUGGGAUACUUUGCCUGAACUUUGUGACUUCUUAAAGCUUAAGCUGGGGGUAAAAUAAUCCAUGCCAAGCAAAAAGAGAGAAACCCUUAAACUAGCUGCUUCCAAGAAUGAACUUCUGUGUGUGGAAAAAAAAAAAAAGAGGAAAAGGAAAAAAAAAAAAGGAAAAAAGAAAAAAAAACAAAAAAACAACACAGAAAAAACCUUUGUAUUUCUAGUGAGAACCAAAGAGGCUACCUCACUGACUUUUCCAUUUGUAAUUUUAAUCGUGUUGAUGAUACCAAAGAUACCAAAGAUUUCUUUCUCUGUGCGGUCUGCAUCCUGCUUGUGCUCUCUGACAGCUCCCCCACCGUUCCCCCCUGCCCUCAGUAACGUUCAGCUGAGCCCAGAUUCCCAAAGAAACGCUUCCCUGGAAGCUGCCAGUUCUGGUGACUGCCCUUUUCUGUGUUCCCUCUGCCUUCCUACCAGCCCAGGCCUUCGGAGGCGUGGAGCAGUGCCCACGCCAGCUCCCGGCCGUGCUGCCCUGGGGGUGAAUCCGGGCUGUGCCCCUCAGAGAUUCCCUGGGGAAAGGCUCUGCAUUGGGGGGGGGGGGGGCAUUUGCAGCAGCAAUUAGCAUCACUAAUUAUUAUUUUCCUGCUUGAGCAGAGCCCAUGGGCUGGUCUGGGGGCGAGGGGGUUCUCCUGCCCCGUGCCCUCCAGGAGGGCCUGGCCGAGCGGGCACAGCAGCUCCAGGGGCUGCUCCCUCCUCCUCACCUUUGCUUGUUGUUUACAAUUCCAGUUUUCACAUAAAAAUCAAUUAAUUACUGUUCUGGAGCUAGCAAUGAGGCGAGGCUACAUUAAGCUCCAUUAGCCCCACGUUCCUGAGCGAUUAUUUCCGAGCCGGGCGGGCGGGCGGGCGGGGAAUUAGCGGUGCCCUUUGGCACCUGGGGCUCGCCGCCGGGUUCGUGCCACCGAACCAAUCCCCCCCUGGGCUCUGCUCGCUCCCCCCACUGCUCUGUGCCCCUGGGCUUCCCCCCAGACCCCAGCCCAGGCUGCAGGGCCUUUCCCUAAGGAAUGUGCCUGAGCCAUGCCCUUGGAUUCACGGAGGUUACCGCUUUAAUUAAGCACCGCCUUUUCUUUCGGGCUUCUUCGGGGCUUUAGGUCUGCGUCGGGAGCGGUAGGACGUGACAAGUGUGCUUUUCUCUCUCUCUCCCUCUCCCUCUCCGUGCCCCUUCAACACAAAGCUAUAAUAAUUCUCAGGAUGCCUUCGGGGCGGGGGGAGCCGCUGUCCCCGGUGCCCUGGGACACAGAGCGUCCCCAGGGCUGGCAGGUCCCGCAGGGUCCCGCGGCUCCCUCCAGACUCAGCCGUUACCCCGGGACGAGUGCCUUGCUUGAACCAAAGCAACCGUGUUUUGCCAGUCUGGAAACCUCUCUGGGCUUUUUUUUUGGGUUUUUUUUUAAUUAUUCUUCCUGUGAAUACCUCAGCUUAACUGGGCCGCCGGGUCGUACCUGGUGGGCUUUGUACUGUGGUGCUUUGCAACGCAGCCCUGCAAAGAACAGACUCCUGAAAAUACCAAAGGCUCUCCUCCUCCUCCUCCCUCUCCCCUACCCCCCCCUCUCUCUCUCUCUCUCUCUCCACGGUUCCAAAGCUUUAUUGCAAAGCGGGCACGUUGGCAAGGCAGACCGUGCAAUCCCUCACCGAGUUUUCUCAGAUAUACCUCAUAGAGAGUAGCUGUUUAGAGUAUGACGUUAUUAUAGCGUGCGUAAGAAAUUAUUCGCCGUUCCUUUUUGUUUCGGUGACCGUGAUUUAA